This 583-nucleotide ribosomal RNA is filed under the name Diplodia seriata. RNAcentral's name for it is "eukaryotic LSU rRNA". The stretch from base 219 to 372 matches the Rfam family "5.8S ribosomal RNA". The record is from RNAcentral. Lineage: Eukaryota; Fungi; Ascomycota; Dothideomycetes; Botryosphaeriales; Botryosphaeriaceae.
UCGUAACAAGGUUUCCGUAGGUGAACCUGCGGAAGGAUCAUUACCGAGUUCUCGGGCUUCGGCUCGAAUCUCCCACCCUUUGUGAACAUACCUCUGUUGCUUUGGCGGCUCUUUGCCGCGAGGAGGCCCUCGCGGGCCCCCCCGCGCGCUUUCUGCCAGAGGACCUUCAAACUCCAGUCAGUAAACGUCGACGUCUGAUAAACAAGUUAAUAAACUAAAACUUUCAACAACGGAUCUCUUGGUUCUGGCAUCGAUGAAGAACGCAGCGAAAUGCGAUAAGUAAUGUGAAUUGCAGAAUUCAGUGAAUCAUCGAAUCUUUGAACGCACAUUGCGCCCCCUGGCAUUCCGGGGGGCAUGCCUGUUCGAGCGUCAUUACAACCCUCAAGCUCUGCUUGGUAUUGGGCGCCGUCCUCUCUGCGGACGCGCCUUAAAGACCUCGGCGGUGGCUGUUCAGCCCUCAAGCGUAGUAGAAUACACCUCGCUUUGGAGCGGUUGGCGUCGCCCGCCGGACGAACCUUCUGAACUUUUCUCAAGGUUGACCUCGGAUCAGGUAGGGAUACCCGCUGAACUUAAGCAUAUCAAU